CCAACAGGGAUUGCCUUAGUAACGGCGAGUGAAGCGGCAAAAGCUCAAAUUUGAAAUCUAACGCCUCUGGUGUUCGAGUUGUAAUUUGGAGAGGCAUCUUCCGGAGUGGCCCAGCCUAUGUACCUUGGAACAGGACGUCAUAGAGGGUGAGAAUCCCGUUCUUGGCUGGAUGUUCACUCCCGUAUGUAGUGUCUUCUACGAGUCGAGUUGUUUGGGAAUGCAGCUCAAAAUGGGUGGUAAAUUUCAUCUAAAGCUAAAUAUUGGCGAGAGACCGAUAGCGCACAAGUAGAGUGAUCGAAAGAUGAAAAGCACUUUGAAAAUAGAGUCAAACAGUACGUGAAAUUGUUGAAAGGGAAGCGCUUGAGACCAGAGUCAGCCUUUGGCAAACAACUGUCCUUCUGGGCGGUGCACUUGUCAUUGGUUGGGCCAGCAUCGGUUGGGACGGUGGGAUAAAGGCUUGGGAAAUGUGACUCCUUUAUGGAGUGUUAUAGUCCCAGGUGGCAU
Molecule: ribosomal RNA, 504 nt
Filed under: Tuber rapaeodorum
Lineage: Eukaryota; Fungi; Ascomycota; Pezizomycetes; Pezizales; Tuberaceae
Description: eukaryotic LSU rRNA
Rfam family: Eukaryotic large subunit ribosomal RNA
Source: RNAcentral